AAUGAACGUUGGCGGCGUGGAUUAGGCAUGCGAGUCGUGCGAGAACCGUAGCAAUACGGGGACAGCGGCGAAAGGGAGAGGAACACGUGGAUACCUACCCUCAGGUUCAGGAUAGCUAUGGGAAACUAUAGGUAAUACUGAAUAAUAUCUCCGGAUCAAAGGUGUGAUUCCGCCGGAGGAGGGGUCCGCGUCCUAUUAGCUAGUUGGUGAGGUAAUGGCUCACCAAGGCGAAGAUGGGUACGGGAUGUGAGAACAUGAUCCCGCUCAUUGGGACUGAGACACUGCCCAGACACCUACGGGUGGCUGCAGUCGAGAAUCUUCGGCAAUGGGGGAAACCCUGACCGAGCGACGCCGCGUGUGAGAUGAAGGCCUCGGUUGUAAUCACUGUCGUAGAGGAGGAAGUGUAGGUGGGUUCGUCCCACUUAUUU
This 428-nucleotide ribosomal RNA is filed under the name uncultured bacterium. Its description in RNAcentral is "bacterial SSU rRNA". It matches the Rfam family "Bacterial small subunit ribosomal RNA", at positions 29 to 470 of the family's 1533-position model. The record is from RNAcentral.